GAUAUUAUGAAUAAUAUCACAGUCAGUGUACACGCAUGGUGUGUACAUGGUGUACUCAUCCAUUGUGAUGUUAGGAGUAACAU
RNAcentral lists this microRNA precursor (83 nucleotides) under Chlorocebus sabaeus (green monkey). RNAcentral's name for it is "miRNA (ENSCSAG00000022781.1)". Lineage: Eukaryota; Metazoa; Chordata; Mammalia; Primates; Cercopithecidae. The record is from RNAcentral.